This 460-nucleotide ribosomal RNA is filed under the name uncultured bacterium. RNAcentral describes it as "partial 16S ribosomal RNA". It matches the Rfam family "Bacterial small subunit ribosomal RNA", at positions 338 to 795 of the family's 1533-position model. The record is from RNAcentral.
CCUACGGGUGGCAGCAGUGAGGAAUAUUGGUCAAUGGGCGGAAGCCUGAACCAGCCAAGCAGCGUGCAGGAUGACGGCCCUACGGGUUGUAAACUGCUUUUAUACGGGAAUAACGCGCCUUACGUGUAGGGUUUUGCAUGUACCGUACGAAUAAGGACCGGCUAAUUCCGUGCCAGCAGCCGCGGUAAUACGGAAGGUCCGGGCGUUAUCCGGAUUUAUUGGGUUUAACGGGAGCGUAGGCGGGAUUUCAAGCUUGCUGUGAAAUGUCCGGGCUCAACCCGGGCCUUGCAGCGCGAACUGGCGUGCUAGAGUCCGCGGAAAGCAGGCGGAAUUCGUCGUGUAGCGGUGAAAUGCUUAGAUAUGACGAAGAACACCGAUUGCGAAGGCAGCUUGCUACAGCGGAACUGACGCUGAUGCUCGAAAGCGCGGGUAUCGAACAGGAUUAGAUACCCGAGUAGUC